Molecule: long non-coding RNA, 746 nt
Organism: Capsella rubella
Lineage: Eukaryota; Viridiplantae; Streptophyta; Magnoliopsida; Brassicales; Brassicaceae
Exons: 5
Source: RefSeq, a predicted model, not a curated record
GUUACAAAAGUUUGAUAUGUGUUUUUUUUUCUUUAUGGUCAUUCAACAAAGAAGAAGCCAUACACUUUACAGUAAGGUUUACGUGUUACUACUGAACUUUCCUUUACAGGAUUUGAUCUGUUUUUGUUCAUUCUUUGUUAGGGUUUAUUGGUUUUAUUUUGCUGCAGGCUUGGCUUGGUCACCUAUUAAUUUCAGGCCUGAAUUUGGUUUUAAUAGCUGAUCCAAAACGUUGAACAAAGGAGUUAAUUAGUCUGAGGAAUCAGAAUCAAAGGGGUGAUUCAUCAAGAUGGUCUACUCUUAUAUUAUACGAGAAAAUCUGAGUUCAAAUUUGAUGCGAUGAAAGCAGUCAAAGAAAGUCGGCAUGUGUGCGAUCUUCAAGGGAUAGAUGAUAUUUCCAUGGAUGUUUGAUGAGAUUCAUGGCUUGAAGUUGAAGCCAUUCAAAGUUGCCGCCAAGAAAGAGUAUUGGCCUCCAUUAUAUGAUGUUGCUACAUUGAAAAAUAACAAGGUGUAUGUCCCUGCAGCGGUAUACUAUGAAGUAAUGUAUGUAAUCUUGAAGCUUUUCAGAUUUCGGGUAUCAGACUUUGGGUAACAAAUUUGUAACAAAUGUUACUGGAAGACGAGUUCUUGAUCAUUUGUUGGGAAUGAUCAUCAAUGGGAAAAAAACCUCUUGUUUGACUCCUUGUCGUUUUUUUCUUUGUUCCCUGUUUUGAGAAUUAAGUGAGUAAUAAAAAGUCUUUCAAUUUUGA